This is a non-coding RNA of Octopus bimaculoides (California two-spot octopus), 77 nucleotides long. The record is from Rfam. NCBI's taxonomy places the organism in Eukaryota, Metazoa, Mollusca, Cephalopoda, Octopoda, Octopodidae.
CUGUGUCGAUGAUGAUUAUAACAUUUACCUACAUUGUUUGAUGAUUGAUGUAAAGAAACCAAACACUGAUGACUCAG